CCUUCGAUAGCUCAGAUGGUAGAGCGGUGGACUGUAGAUCCAUAGGUCGCUGGUUCAAAUCCGGCUCGAAGGA
This is a non-coding RNA of Fopius arisanus, 73 nucleotides long. Lineage: Eukaryota; Metazoa; Arthropoda; Insecta; Hymenoptera; Braconidae. The record is from the annotation of a RefSeq genome assembly.